GAUGAACGCUGGCGGCGUGCCUAAUACAUGAAAGUCGAGCGAACGGACGAGAAGCUUGCUUCUCCGAUGUUAGCGGCGGACGGGUGAGUAACACGUGGAUAACCUACCUAUAAGACUGGGAUAACUUCGGGAAACCGGAGCUAAUACCGGAUAAUAUUUUGAACCGCAUGGUUCAAAAGUGAAAGACGGUCUUGCUGUCACUUAUAGAUGGAUCCGCGCUGCAUUAGCUAGUUGGUAAGGUAACGGCUUACCAAGGCAACGAUGCAUAGCCGACCUGAGAGGGUGAUCGGCCACACUGGAACUGAGACACGGUCCAGACUCCUACGGGAGGCAGCAGUAGGGAAUCUUCCGCAAUGAGCGAAAGCCUGACGGAGCAACGCCGCGUGAGUGAUGAAGGUCUUCGGAUCGUAAAACUCUGCUAUUAGGGAAGAACAUAUGUGUAAGUAACUGUGCACAUCUUGACGGUACCUAAUCAGAAAGCCACGGCUAACUACGUG
This 497-nucleotide ribosomal RNA is filed under the name uncultured bacterium. Its description in RNAcentral is "partial 16S ribosomal RNA". It matches the Rfam family "Bacterial small subunit ribosomal RNA", at positions 28 to 507 of the family's 1533-position model. The record is from RNAcentral.